UACGAAGGGGGCUAGCGUUACUCGGAAUUACUGGGCGUAAAGGGCGCGUAGGCGGCGAGAUAAGUCAGGCGUGAAAUUCCCGGGCUCAACCUGGGGACUGCGCUUGAGACUGUUUUGCUAGAGGAUGGAAGAGGGUCGUGGAAUUCCCAGUGUAGAGGUGAAAUUCGUAGAUAUUGGGAAGAACACCGGUGGCGAAGGCGGCGACCUGGUCCAUUACUGACGCUGAGGCGCGACAGCGUGGGGAGCAAACAGG
This 253-nucleotide ribosomal RNA is filed under the name bacterium. RNAcentral describes it as "partial 16S ribosomal RNA". It matches the Rfam family "Bacterial small subunit ribosomal RNA", at positions 524 to 776 of the family's 1533-position model. RNAcentral also lists the same sequence under 1 other name. The record is from RNAcentral.